GACGAACGCUGGCGGCGUGCUUAACACAUGCAAGUCGAACGGUGAACGAGGGAGCUUGCUCCCUCCGGAUCAGUGGCGAACGGGUGAGUAACACGUGAGCAAUCUGCCCCGAACUCUGGGAUAAGCGUUGGAAACGACGUCUAAUACCGGAUACGACGCGGGAGGGCAUCCUCUCCGCGUGGAAAGAACUUCGGUUCGGGAUGAGCUCGCGGCCUAUCAGCUUGUUGGUGAGGUAACGGCUCACCAAGGCGACGACGGGUAGCCGGCCUGAGAGGGUGACCGGCCACACUGGGACUGAGACACGGCCCAGACUCCUACGGGUGGCAGCAGUGGGGAAUAUUGCACAAUGGGCGCAAGCCUGAUGCAGCAACGCCGCGUGAGGGACGACGGCCUUCGGGUUGUAAACCUCUUUUAGCAGGGAAGAAGCGAAAGUGACGGUACCUGCAGAAAAAGCACCGGCUAACUACGU
Molecule: ribosomal RNA, 469 nt
Filed under: uncultured bacterium
Lineage: Bacteria
Description: partial 16S ribosomal RNA
Rfam family: Bacterial small subunit ribosomal RNA
Source: RNAcentral